GAGAGCUUCCAGGAAUGUUAGCAGAAGGCAAGCAGAAAUGUCAGAGCAGUGCUCUGUAGCAGCACUGCUCACCCCCGUACUUCUGCUGGGAUAUGACUGGACACCCUGGAGAGGGCACAUCAGCGGAAGAGGUCUGGGCAGGAGAUCCCAUCCAGGCAGGUGACGCUCGGGAUGCCCUUUCUAUCCCCUGCCAAGCAGCUGAGGAGCUCUAAUUACACAGCAGACAACACUGACAGGUUCUGGUCGUCAAUGCAUUUUAGUGACACUGGAAUCAGGCUGGACUUCCCAGCAAGAGCUGCUGAGGCUGCACUUGGGAGCCAGGAAAGACUCUGCACUCUUCAGCAAGGGCUUGAUCUUGAAGAACAGCUUCAUCCAUGGCCAGUGUUUGACAUUCAUGAAUGCACGAAUAUUGUACUGGAUGCAGAAGAUGGAUUCCCUGAAAGAUAAGUCAAAUUAAUAUUCAAUAUUUACACCACGAUGACACAAUAAGCCAAGUACAGUGACCCUGAUCUAAAGAUAAGUCUACCUUCUCUCCACCAUUUUCUGGUACUCCAUCCUCGCCAGGAAGCCCCUGCACCUGGCCUGGGUGCGGGUGAUGAGCUGUGCCAGCUUCUCAUCCCUCAUCUCUUCCAAAAGGCCUACCAGCCCAGCUUUGAAGAACACCUUAGGACUCUGUUGGGAAAUCCUUUCCUGCAGAUCCUGAUCCCUUCCAGCACGCCGUUACAGCGCAGCUGAUGCAGCACCAGCUCAUGCUCCAUGGCACCUGGCAAUGCAGAGCACAAAUACAUGCCAUGUAAUACAGUGAGGAAGAGCUGCACCACACUGAAAACCUUCAAUGUAUAUGUUCCCAUAGUGCAUGACAGCCCCUGUCAGCUUGUAGAUGGCUGUCUUUUCAUCAGCAGUGAAGCCCAGGAUGUCAAUGGCACUCUGGGCAAUGACAGGCCAAGCAUUCAGUCUAUCCUUCCUGACUCACCUGCAUUUUGCCUGAUGACUUCUCCUCUUUCUUCUUCUCUCCACUGGCUGCAAUUGUUGCAAAGUACUGGAUGACACGCUUGGUGUUCACAGUCUUCCCGGCCCCGGAUUCUCCGCUGCCAAAGCCAAGAGAGAAGCAGAGGUCUUGACAGUGACUUUUCCCGAUUCCCUGCUCGUGAUUGUCCCUUUCACAAAGGAUUCUUUGGGAUGAACCACAAAGACUGAUGACUUGGCAUCGAAAGGUUUGUUCUGGGCUGCAAUUCUCUCCUUCUCCGAUUUUCGGAGGUAAGGAGCUGCCUCCCCAAAAACAGCCAUCUCAGCAUCUCCAGAGGCCAUGGCUGCCCUUUACUGAGGAUAUCUCAGCGGAUGACUCUGAGGAGAAAAAAUAUGGUAAUAAAUAUAUUUUUUGUCUGGAGUAAGAAAAUGGAUAUCUAAUAAAGCUGAGAAUUCUGGCACUCUACAAAGGUGGUUAGAAGGGUGAACUUCACAGAAGCAAAGCACAGCAGAGAUAAAUGGCAGGAGGCAGGCUGGAAGCCAUCUCUGGAUAGACUGUGCUGCACAGCAAUGCAGUGUCGUCAAGGUGCACAUUCCCAUGGAGGAGAAAGGAUUCAGUCGUGCUGAAAAUAGCUCCUUCUUGAGACAGAGAUCAGACAGCUGCUCCCUCCCUGCCAGGGCCUAAGAUGUGCAUUUUGUUCCCCCCAUCCCAGUAGUUAACUGAGAGAUAAGGAGUGAGAAGGCACUUUUUAGUCAGGCUGGGGAGGGCAAGGCUAAAUUCCUGCAGGUGCUGUGUGUUGGCCACUGGGAACUUCCCCCUCCUCCCUGCUCAGACUCAUCAAGUUCAUGAACUGGAAACACAAGAAUGGCUUGUAUGGGCAACAGCAGGAAAAGGAAUGGGUUUUUGUAGUCUUUACCCCUGGAAGCUACUCUCAGGCUAUAUGGUCUGUGAUUCCCUAAGACAGACAGCCCUCCAAGGUGUCCCUUCUGGCUGGGGAAGUCUCCAAGUGUCCCUUCUGGCUGAUGAUGUGUCCAGGUGGCCACUCCCAUGCAGCUGAAGCCAUGGCUAUCAGUGAAAUAUUUUAUUUCACUUCAUUCAAUCAACAGACAGUUAAUUCCAUGGCACUUGCCAAAGCAUGUCCCUCCAGAGCACCAAAUCCAUAGCAAUGCUUCUCAUGAACAUCAGCUGAAAUGUCCUCAGCAGAAGCAGCAGGCUUUGGUUGCUUUCAGUCCUUGAAGAGCAGAGUGACCUGCAGGCAGAGCCAGAGAUCUGUGGGGCUCAUUGGGGCAGCAAAAUGCAUCACAUCACAGCAGCAAGGAGCUCCACCAGCAGUGGGUGAGACUCAGGAUUGGCACAGCCCAGCUCACAGAGCAGUGGGGAGCCAGCAAAGAGCAGCGGAAGAGCUGGCCCAGGAGGUGACAUUCAGGAUGUCCUUUCUGUCACCCACCACAGCAGCUGAGGAGCUCCUGUUACAGAGCAGGGGAGUGGGGUGGGCAGGCUAAGACGCCUCCGGGCUGCUCCUGCUCCACUUGGCUGCGAGAGGGGACAAGACUUUCUGCAAUUCUGCUGUUCCUGGAGCCUCUGCUUUCCUCACCAGGGAAGGGAUUCAUGAACUGGGGCCUCUUGCUGAUCUGCAAAGCAGAAGAUGGAGUUCUGGGUCCACAGGCAUUGCAUUUUUAUUUGCAGAGAGGGGAUGCCCUAUCCACCCCAAGGAGCCCUGACUGACUGCUGGAAGUACCUGGGCCGUGGGACAGCACAUCCCAGCAGGGAAUGGCCAUGGCCACAGUGCUGGGCCCCAUUCUGGUGUUUAACCUUUCAGCUGGCAAUGGAGCUGUGCUGCACUGAGUCUCUCUGGGGUAAGAAUAGCAGCUGCUGCCUUGGGACACAGCACACGUGUCCAGCUCCUCCAGGGCAGCACGUUGCAGUGCCACACACAAGGCAGCCUACCCGCUCAGGAAUGUCUUCAGGCGCUAUUAGUGGAAGCAGAUCAUCCCCACAAACAGGCACGACCCCGCACAGGAGCCUUGGGAGAGUGGGGCUAUUUUGGGCUUUGGCAUUGAGCGUGAAAGGAGGAUGGGCUCAUCCUCCUGCCAUGAGCCUCCUCCAAAACUCCUUUGGGCCUUGUCCCCUCCUCCAGCAAUGGCUCUUGUGGAGGCUGAGGGGCAGUUUUGUGUGGCCUGGGAGUGCAGGAGGUGAGGGCAAAGGGAGCUGUGAGUUUGCUGGUGGGGCAAGGCCAGCCCUCAGUGCCAUCAGCAGUGCCCAGCUGUGCUCAGGGGAGGUCCUGCCUGAGGGCAUGGGGCCUCUGCUUCAUUCUCAACCACACCCAUGAGAGUGAGAGAGGUACCAGAGAGUAUGUAAGGCUCCAACUUUUUGAAAUCAAGUAUUGAAACACCAAUCCUUUGCAUCCAGCAGGGUAUUUGCUUCUUUCCACCUGAAGCUCUCCAUUUCUGAGCGGUUCUUCAGCACUCUUCUUCCAUUUUCCUAUUCCCUACCAUAACAAAUUCCCUCCCUAACUUAUUCCUAUCCUUUUAAGAUCCUCUUUCUGGUGUGGAUUUCUUUCAUUGCAUAUUUUUAAUGUCUCAUUUAUUUAUGUUUCAUUUGCCUUGCUUUGUGAAUGUUUCAGUGAUUUGCCAGCACUUAAUCCACCACACUCAUUGGUGCAUUGGCCAGGAAAUCUCAAAUUAGCAAAGCAAAACCACUACACUGGGGCAAGAGCAAACAGUAAACUUUGUCCCAAAACCAGGCAAGAGGGCUGGGAGGAUUGCAUGACAAUGCCAUGUUAUGCCUGGAUACUCUGAAAUGAAUAAUGACAGGCUGGUAAGGGUUACUAGACUUGCCUAGCAAUUAGUAGUUUUCUGGUGAUUUUGCACAGCUACUCCUAAACAAGAUACAACUGUUUUUCUGCAGGUUCAUGAAGCAGAAAUUCAUGUUGCACUGAGUAACCAAUCAUUUGACAUGGGGUCAGUGACAUUCAGCUCAGCAGGGCUUUGGACUGAAACACAGCACUGUGUCAUAAGCUGCUGAGAAUGUGCUGCUUCUAGGCUACAGGAGCUGGAACAGAAUUCCUCCUUUGGAAAAGCAAAAAGCCUGUCAAACCUCUAGGUUUUAAAUUCAGGAUGAAAUUGGUCAAAGUGAAAUAGUAAGACUCAGAACAGAAACAGAAGUAGUAAGACUCAAAGCCACACUUUUGACUAUAAUUAGUAACAAGAUGAGACUCUCAUUUAAACAUUCACAUUUGGAACAUUUGAAGUUGCAGAUAUCUAUUUUAUUGACACUGGUACAGCAGCAGUGACAGAAAAUGUUUGUGUUCUUAAACAAAGAGAAAAUUACUUCCUCAGCUGGAGAGGUACCUUGUGGAAGUUCUAGUUAUCCCAGAGGAAGCUCAUUUUUCAGUUCCUAACACCACCUAGAAAGGAGAGGCUUUGUUCAGUGUACACAUGCCAAGAUGAGUCUUUUGAUUCCUAAAAUCAUCCAGCUCAGAGCACCAUCCAGCUAGGAUGGGCAAGGGAGUCUGAGCCAAUGCAGACAUGUGUGGAACCCUUAAAACCACUGUGUGAAUUAAAUAUAUGCAGGUAACACUAAGAUGGCCAUCAUCCACAGCUGAAGCAUGAAGAAAAUAUUAAUUACAUUGUUUCACUGGCAAAAAACAAGGACACAUGCACUGCUAAGCUUAUUCCAUUUUAACAAUAACAACCCACUCAACUUGCAUUUAAAAGGCCCUUCCUUUCCAAAUGAUGCCUGUACAAGGCACAAAUCUGCUGCUACACUCACUUGAGCAAACAGCACACCUGCAGGAAAGCCUUACCUUUGUAGCAGAGCCUUCUCUGGCCUUAGCUCUGAGUUUAUUUGCUUGGCUCUCAGCAAUGUCUGCCCUUUCCAGGGCCUCACCUAUCUUAUGCAGUGCAUGUCUCAGUUUGCAGAGAUCAGUAUUGGCUUGUUCACCCUGAAAUUGCAAAACAAAAAUUUAAAACCAUUUGGCAACAUGCUGGGGCACAGAGCCAAGUUUUGAACUGGCAGUCCUAUGAACUGGGAAAUAACUGUUAGCUUCAAUUUAGUGACUCACAGCUUCCUCAGCUUGUUUUCUGUAGGAUUUGAUUUUCAUCUGCAGUUGAUCUACCAGAUCUUGUAACCUAACCAUGUUCUUCUUUUGUUCUUCACACUGUGGAAAGAGAACGUGCAAUUUUAUGUCCUUGGGAGACAAAACAUCAGAAUUACUUUCUAUUUUUACCCACCUGAAAAGUGAGCUCUUUGAAACGCCGUUCAUAUUUGCAGAUGUUUUUCAUAGCCUCU
Molecule: long non-coding RNA, 5257 nt
Organism: Melospiza melodia melodia
Lineage: Eukaryota; Metazoa; Chordata; Aves; Passeriformes; Passerellidae
Exons: 13
Source: RefSeq, a predicted model, not a curated record